UACGUAGGGUGCAAGCGUUGUCCGGAAUUAUUGGGCGUAAAGAGCUCGUAGGCGGUCUGUUGCGUCGGCUGUGAAAACCCGGGGCUCAACCCCGGGCCUGCAGCCGAUACGGGCAGACUAGAGUUCGGUAGGGGAGUCUGGAAUUCCUGGUGUAGCGGUGAAAUGCGCAGAUAUCAGGAGGAACACCGGUGGCGAAGGCGGGACUCUGGGCCGAUACUGACGCUGAGGAGCGAAAGCGUGGGGAGCGAACAGG
RNAcentral lists this ribosomal RNA (253 nucleotides) under uncultured bacterium. RNAcentral describes it as "partial 16S ribosomal RNA". It matches the Rfam family "Bacterial small subunit ribosomal RNA", at positions 524 to 776 of the family's 1533-position model. The record is from RNAcentral.